This 221-nucleotide long non-coding RNA is filed under the name Elaeis guineensis (African oil palm). RNAcentral's name for it is "long non-coding RNA (EGUI_LNC007916)". The record is from RNAcentral. Lineage: Eukaryota; Viridiplantae; Streptophyta; Magnoliopsida; Arecales; Arecaceae.
UCAGCCUGCUGAAUCUGAAUGAAGCCUAGAUUGCGAUCAAUACUUGAUCUUUCUUCUUGAUCUUUCUCUUCUCCUCUUCUCUAGAGUUUCUCCUUACUAUGUGCUGCUACCAGAUGCUAAAAAUUAGUAAAGAAGAGGCAUCCAAACUCCUCUGGAUGUGAAACUCCAUGGGAUGCGUGUCCCAAGGAAGGGGUGUAUAGAACACCCAAGAGAAGAGAAAG